Long non-coding RNA from Poecilia reticulata (guppy), 2579 nucleotides. RefSeq lists it as uncharacterized. Lineage: Eukaryota; Metazoa; Chordata; Actinopteri; Cyprinodontiformes; Poeciliidae. The record is from RefSeq and is a predicted model, not a curated record.
CAUUCUAGGAAAUAUUCCCCAGAAACCAGCGCAAACUCCUCUCUGAUAUAUCAUAUGUUUAUUUAUUAUUUAUUUGCUUAUUACACACAUAUAUAUCAAAAAAGGUCCCCAAGUUUCCUGCUGGGAGAGUUCAUUUAUUCUGUAUGCAAAGCGGGGAAAGAGUGGGGAGAGGGGAGAGAAGGAGGUGGGGGGGAGGGAAAAAAAAUCAUCCCCAAGUAUAACAAGAGACGAACAGUUAGUGCUGAUUUUCAUUUGCAUAAAUUUUCAUAUAUUUUAGUGAAAAUAAUAGCGGGAGCAGAGCGGCGCUCCUGCUCAGUCGAGGCGGAGGAAAGAAAAUCUGAGGGAGCAGCGAGUCGCCGGGAAGGGAGAUAACCGCUUCCACGCUCCGUGGGAGCAAACCCACGCCACAUCCUUCACUCUGGGACUGAAGGAGACCCUCACAAGCACCAAACKUUGGUUCCUCCUCGUCCCCGGUGCAGAACCUGUGGGGAUCUGACAGGGUCCUGCGUGCGGAGGACGACCUCGGAAAAGAACUCCUGGGUUUAAUUCGACGCAUUAGCUGCAGUCACACUCCAGCGCCGAGCACAAAUCUCUAAAUCUGGAGCAAAUUCAGCUCCUUUAAAGCACGGAUCAUCUGCGAAAUGUUGAUUUUCUCAAGACGGACAAGCGUCUCUUUGAGGACAGAUGGACAGACAGUGAACCAACAGCCAAACAUCGGGCUCUUUAAGACAGCAGAGCUGCGAUCCAGCCCUUACUGUCAGGCACUUCCUGUAAAUAUGUUUUUAGGUGUGUUUGCAAAUACGAAUGCCAGCGAGUUGACAGGAGCAGCGCGGCGGCGGCGGCAGGAACACAGAGAGAGAAACCCCACGGAGCCGCGGAUUUAAAAAUAUCUGCCCCCCGCCACCGCCCCCACCCAAAGAGGAACGAGGGAAGAAAAGCAGCAGUUCGCCGGCACAGAUUGGGGUGAAUUUGUCACAGCAGCAAAAACUAAAAAACACGUUUCACACAGUGGCACAGUCAAGUUUCUAUCAACAAAAAGUAAAAAAAAAAAAAAAAAAAGACGGAAAAAAGGUGUGUGGAAAAAAAAAACUCGGUACACACUUUAUGCUUUCAUUGGAUGUCACAGGGAAAUAGUUGUUUGCUGCUGAAACAAGUUUCUGUGAGCACAACACCAGGUAGGAAAGACAUCAGCACUGACCUCUGGGUGUACACAAAGAGGAAGAGGAAGAGGAAGAGCAAGCAUCUCCAUGGAGAAGAGGGAUCAACAUGAAUGAAGCAACAUGAUGAAGAAGAGUGAACAAAAUCCUCCUCGUGAUGAAUUAAGGGYGGGGCAUCCAUGGGAUGUACUUACUUUUUCCACACAAACGUUCUCCCGUUUUAUCGUUAUCUAGUAGAUAACAAUAAACUGUAGCGUGCUGCCAGUUUUCGUACACUCGAUGCGAUUGUUUUCCCCUCUUGUCGAACUGUUAAAAUACAGCAGGGUGUACUUUYUUUUCCAAACUGGACAGUGAUCAGUGUGUGGAAGCAAAUGUAACCCAGAGCAGGAAGUGACCGCUAGUUAAGAUGAAGCUUCCUCCACGCGUCAGCCUGAUCUGCCAGACAGCCAUCGAUCGGGCUGCUCGUUAGGAGAGCAAGGCCGGCCCGGAGGAUGGGUCCUGACACCGUUAACACCAUGCUCUUUAACGAACCACCGUCAGCGGAGCGGCACCCCGUCAUCGACCCCGCCGGCCCACCGCGGACYCCUUCCUGCUUGGCCGGGACGAGAAGAGAGCCGCGGCAUGUGGCGCUAUCGAUCCACAGKCAGCAAUUUGUUGCCUUGGAAACAACUGAGCAAAGAAAUACAGAUUAAAUACAGAAAUUUGAAAGAGCAUCAGUUGAACCAGACUCAGUUUUCAUCCGGAAGUGGCAGCACAAUGUCAGGACGGGAAACCAACAGCAAUGAUCUUCCUAUUGUUUUUGUGUUGGACAGUUGUUCCUAAAUGCUCUAUGUAAAUAAAUUUGAUUCAUUAAAAAAAUAACCAGUUUUUACAUCCAGAAAAUCCAGAUGCUUUCAUCCAAUCAGACAGACAGCUUCAGUUUGUGUUUCUGGUUUUCACUGGACAGUUGUUGGUUGUUGAAGUUCCACAGCUCUUUGCUCUGGACCAAUAACUCCAACAUGAAUGUAACAUGAUCAGAUUUAUGAGGUAUGAUUCCACAAAGCCGAAACAUUUAGACGGUGAACAUUGCAGCAACUUUAACAGAACCGUUGACAUUAGAGAUGAACUUAUUGACGCCAUAUUUCCUUGAACGCAAACCUAAACAUGUAAGCUAGCAGCAGCCGCCGCCGCGCAGGUAGCGGCKUCGUUGGCGGCUCGUUUCCUUCCUCGGGCGUCUGACCGUUUUUCCGCCGAGGCGUCUUCACAGCCAGGCUUGGCAGAGACUCAAGUCGACCGAGGUGGAGUGGUUGGAUGCYGGAAGGCCGCUGGGGAAACACUGCUAGCUUUGCAGAAUGAGCUGCUGCUUCAUGACUGCCGUCAUCUGAAGGCAUUCAGAGAAAUAUCAUUAGCUGUGCUUAUCAGAUUAGCUAGAGAGAGGGAUUA